UAAGCAUAUCAAUAAGCGGAGGAAAAGAAACCAACAGGGAUUGCCCUAGUAACGGCGAGUGAAGCGGCAACAGCUCAAAUUUGAAAUCUGGCUUCGGCCCGAGUUGUAAUUUGCAGAGGAAGCUUUAGGCGCGGCACCUUCUGAGUCCCCUGGAACGGGGCGCCAUAGAGGGUGAGAGCCCCGUAUAGUUGGAUGCCUAGCCUGUGUAAAGCUCCUUCGACGAGUCGAGUAGUUUGGGAAUGCUGCUCAAAAUGGGAGGUAAAUUUCUUCUAAAGCUAAAUACCGGCCAGAGACCGAUAGCGCACAAGUAGAGUGAUCGAAAGAUGAAAAGCACUUUGAAAAGAGGGUUAAAUAGCACGUGAAAUUGUUGAAAGGGAAGCGCUUGUGACCAGACUUGCGCCGGGCGGAUCAUCCGGUGUUCUCACCGGUGCACUCCGCCCGGCUCAGGCCAGCAUCGGUUCUCGCGGGGGGAUAAAGGUCCUGGGAACGUAGCUCCUCCGGGAGUGUUAUAGCCCGGGGCGUAAUGCCCUCGCGGGGACCGAGGUUCGCGCAUCUGCAAGGAUGCUGGCGUAAUGGUCAUCAGCGACCCGUCUUGAAACACGGACCAAGGAGUCAAGGUUUUGCGCGAGUGUUUGGGUGUAAAACCCGCACGCGUAAUGAAAGUGAACGUAGGUGAGAGCUUCGGCGCAUCAUCGACCGAUCCUGAUGUUUUCGGAUGGAUUUGAGUAGGAGCGUUAAGCCUUGGACCCGAAAGAUGGUGAACUAUGCUUGGAUAGGGUGAAGCCAGAGGAAACUCUGGUGGAGGCUCGCAGCGGUUCUGACGUGCAAAUCGAUCGUCAAAUCUGAGCAUGGGGGCGAAAGACUAAUCGAACCAUCUAGUAGCUGGUUACCGCCGAA
RNAcentral lists this ribosomal RNA (897 nucleotides) under Chaetomium globosum. RNAcentral describes it as "LSU rRNA". It matches the Rfam family "Eukaryotic large subunit ribosomal RNA", at positions 35 to 965 of the family's 3401-position model. Lineage: Eukaryota; Fungi; Ascomycota; Sordariomycetes; Sordariales; Chaetomiaceae. The record is from RNAcentral.